AACAGGGAUUGCCUCAGUAACGGCGAGUGAAGCGGCAAAAGCUCAAAUUUGAAAUCCUUCGGGAAUUGUAUUUUGAAGGUGGGUUUGGUUAGGAAAAGAUACUUUAAGUCCAUUGGAAAAUGGCGCCAUGGAGGGUGAUAGCCCCGUAAAAGUCCCCCUUUUCCUUCUAUCCAUUCCCUCCAAAGAGUCGAGUUGUUUGGGAAUGCAGCUCUAAGUGGGUGGUAAAUUCCAUCUAAAGCUAAAUAUUGGCGAGAGACCGAUAGCGAACAAGUACAGUGAUGGAAAGAUGAAAAGCACUUUGAAAAGAGAGUGAAAAAGUACGUGAAAUUGUUGAAAGGGAAGGGCUUGCAAGCAGACACAACCUCGGUUGGGCCAGCAUCGGAGUGGGGGGAGACAAAAAAGAAAAGGAAUGUAACUCUUUCGAGUAUUAUAGCCUUCUCUCAUAUCUCCACCCCCUUCCGAGGCCUGCGAUUCUUCAAGGAUGCUGG
Molecule: ribosomal RNA, 488 nt
Filed under: Metschnikowia cibodasensis
Lineage: Eukaryota; Fungi; Ascomycota; Pichiomycetes; Serinales; Metschnikowiaceae
Description: partial large subunit ribosomal RNA
Rfam family: Eukaryotic large subunit ribosomal RNA
Source: RNAcentral